RNAcentral lists this small RNA (16 nucleotides) under Arabidopsis thaliana (thale cress). RNAcentral's name for it is "ATSL223470". Lineage: Eukaryota; Viridiplantae; Streptophyta; Magnoliopsida; Brassicales; Brassicaceae. The record is from RNAcentral.
UUUUGAUAACUCGUGU